AAAAUUUUACUGACUAUUCACGUGAAUCUAAAACUCUUAAUUUUCGUUGAGAAGUUUAAUUAUUUGUUUGAAUGAAUAAUUUUAGUUUGCUUCAAAUCUCCAUAAAUUGUUCUUAUUACUUUAUCUGUGUCUUUAAAAGCCCCUUUUAUUUGAAGAAAAUGUAUGAAAUUAUUUGUUAGCAUAUGACUAAUUUGUAAAAUUUAAUUUUUAAUGUUUACCCAUAACCAUUUACCGAUAGUCCUUCAGUCAUAAAAAUCGUUCAGUUCUGUGAGAAAAAGAAAUUAAGUAAGACACGCAUAACCUAAUCUUCAUUUUAACAUUAGUAAAGGUAGGAAAACACAGUAGAAAUAUAUUACUAAUUUUGAAAUUACUUACAUGUUUAAUAUGCUAGAAGCAAUUUGCUUGUAAUGAUAUUAAUCAAAGUGUUACAAAUUUUCUAGCUUUUAACUAAAUGUACUUCCUAAUAGUCUGUAUCAGCUUUAAUUUUGGUAGAUUUUACGAAAUUAUUUCAGCACCUUUUUCAAAAUGAUCUUAAGCAAUUUGAAUAAUCAAUUUUCAUUAAAUAUCAAUUUAUUAUUUUUUUCCUAUUUGUUUCACUCAGCAAUGAAUAUUUAACUGAAAAGCUAUUCUGUAUUUGACAAGCAUUCAAAUGUGAGUCACCAUGUAGAAAUUUAAAAUAAAAAAUUCCAGCAUAGCUUUUUUUCUCGCUUUAUAAUAAAAUAUGUGUCUUAUUUAUCUUGAAUACUGUAAAUAUCGAAAGCAGUAAUAGGUAUAAAAUUCAAACUAUUACCAUUCAAUAAAUUUUGAAAAUAAAAUAUUUAUCUCUACAGUUACCCAUAUGCUUUCUUUAGUAAAGCUUUAAACUAUUACGACUCGAUGCUUUUGUCUAUAGUUUAGACGCUUUAGAGUCCAAAUAAAUCUUUACACCAAUAUGUAUGUAUUUUUUGGAAGCUUUUAAUGUAUGAAGAGUAAAAAAUGAAUGAACAUUUGUAACUGUACGAAUUCUAAUCUAUAAUGUCUAACUCUAAAUUAACAUUGAAUUUUUUUGAUCUACUGGGGUAUGAAAGUAUUACAGCAUGUAUACUCUUUAUUGUUCAAGAACAUAUUGUUGUUCUUGACGUAUGCCAUUAAGGCAGAGGGGAUGUGAUUGUUCUUGUUUUCCAGUACUGUAUUUCAAAUAAUAUGUUUUCAAAUACUCCUUUUUUCGAAUUUACUGGAUUGUUUCAUUUAUCCUUUUUGUUUUGUGCCUAGGUACUGUUUUUGUCUUUUGUAUUUUUCAGGAUUGUCUAUAUUCUUGAUUUGCGGCAGAUGUGCAAGUUUUGAGGUGCCAUGGCUACAACAUAGGAUGAAAAGUUUCAAGGAAGAAUCAAUUUUAUGGGGAAACUACUGAAUAGACGGAAAAUGCUUCCAGCACUAGGAACUUGCCAAUUGUUUUGCUAGCUUUGUAGGUGAGAACAUUGAACUUUAAUUACAAUACUCAGAUUUAUUUGUUUACGUAUUUUAUUGUAACAAGUGAUCUAUUUUUCACAUACCUUUAAAUAUUGAUACAUAAUAUGUUCUACAUGGCUUCUUGCCUGUCUUUGUGUUAAGUAAAGAAUAUAGGGGUGAAAGAACUGAAAUAAUUAUGAAGGAAUUUUUGUGAAGGAUUAUAGAAUUGAUACUUGUCAUGCUUGGCUUACUCUUAAUAGAAUGGAAAGAACUGCUACUAACGUAAACAAAGCCACGUUUUAACAACCAAUCAGACUAGAGAUACCAACACUACGUCACUUGCAGAUAUUUGGUUCCGAACUCAUCGGUUCUGGGUACGUUACAACAAAACUAAAAAAAUUAAAUCCAUAAGUUUGAAUUUUUUGUUAAAGUUGGUUAAUUAUAAUUUUUUUCAGACAAACAUUAACAAAUGUAUUAUUUUUCUAAAGUAAUUGUGUCAAACGUAAAACUAUUACUUAUUUCUAAGUUCAUUUUUAAAAGUAAUUUAACAAACAUUCUCCUUGAAGCUACUAGUAAUGUUAAACUUGCCUAAUUUACUAUCUUUCAAAAUUCAUAUAAAUAUAACUCUUUAUUUGAUUCGUCGAUUAAAAUAAGUCUAGAAUGCUUUUAUUUGUUAUGUAUGAAAACUAUAAUCGGAUAGUCUAGAUCUAAAGGUUAUUUCUAUUCUCCAUGAACUGAGCGAUUUAAUUAACAUUGUUUUAUUGCAAAGUUAUGUUAUUUUACUUCUGAAGUUUUGAGCUACGUAUAGUAUAAUUGUUCUUAAAAUACGAUUAAGCUCACUUUACUGACUGAUUUCUGAAUAACCACUAAUAUACACUUAGAAGUUUCAUUUAUUCAAUUUUAUAGUUUGGAAUUUAGUCUUCUCUUCGAAAGAGGACAUAAGUGAAAUUCGGCAAAAUUCAUUAUUUCAUGACUCAGUAGUCCUUUCAGAGUGUGGACAUUUAGAAUCUUUCAUUUUAUACUACCCUCUUCCUAGCCACGAUGUCCCAUAUGUUAACUUUUACUUUUUCAGAACCUCCAUUAAUGCAGUCAAUCUGGAUCUGCCCCAGGUUCUAGUUUGUUUAAAAUGCGAGUCUGAAUGGUAGGAAGGAUAGGUCAGCAAAUUUCCUUCAGUUUACUUUAAUGCGGCUCUUCCUCCAAUUUUUUCUCCCCUGUACAACUCAUAGUUUCCCAGUUACCGUUUAUUCACAGAGCUCACAAAAUCCUUCUCAAAACUUUUCUCUCUAAGACGGCUAUUCUUUUUUCAUGGGAUCAUGACAUAGCUCAGGUUUCAGAACAGCGUGUCCGUUUUAUAUUAAAAAUUAUUUACCAAUUUUGAUCGUCUAGAACGUCUAAAUUCAUGAAGAUAACAGUUAGAAACAACGCUUCGUUUUAUCUCUUUUUUACUUACUGGACACCCUACAUCUGUUUGUUAAAUAACGGAAGAGGUCAUUAAUUACGACGUGAAAAGAAGAAAAUUAAUCUUUUAAUCAUAGAUUUUUAACACUAUGAACGUCUGCAAGGAAAUUUUUGACAUAAGCUUUCGUUGGAUAUUUAAGAAAAGGUACUUUUGGCAAAUAUGUUGUCAUUGUAUUAUAGAAACGUAUUCUGAAACGAAAAAUUUCUAUUCUGUACUGAACAAGUGUGAAAUCCGAAUUGGAGCAGAACGGCCGUCUAGCACUCCCCUCUUCGAGCUUCACACUUGUUAGCCGUUUCGGAACUUUUCCGUUUUUCAGACUACGGUGCCGUAAGGGCCGGGGUUCCGUAAGAACUGGGGGGUCCUGGAUUGUGAUGAUAGCUCACAUAUCCGUGACCUGAACUGUCUGAAGUACCCUUGCUCUUACAGCGAAAUCUAGCGGUUAAAUUAGCUGCUACAUUUUUCUCGCUCUAGUUAAAUUAACAUUUAAAGGCUGAGGUGGUCUAGAGUAAGGGCCUGGACUGUAACUAAAGGUUGCAGUUCCGUACCCUGAAAAAACACCCAGCUCUUUACUAGCAUUAUAACUUAGUUCAGACGUUCAUAUUGAAUUCACAAAUUUUAACUUUUACGAUAUUUUCCAGGUAGAUAAAUUCGAAGUAAAAUUUGUUAAGGAAAAAAAUGGGACAUUUAUGAACAUCUUAACUGGGGUCGUUCAAAGUCCUUUAAAUACAAAUAACAAUUUACAAUUUCUGAUGCCAAAAUUUAAUUUGAAAAUGUAGCUUAAUAUUAGAAUAAUAAGCUUGGGACAAAUAUUGGGAAAUUUUAUUCACCUGCGUUCACAUAAGGUUCAGAAUUCUGGGCAAUGUUAAAAUUGCUUGACAAUAUAAUGGCUAUUUUUGUGAAUUGUUUUGAUAUUUCUAAGUUUAAUGUAUAUCAGUGGUACAAGGAAAAACAUACAAUGAGCUGUACAUGCUGUAUGGAACUACAUUCUACUGCAUAAAAUUUUCUGAAGACAGUUGCCGAUUUGGCUAAUAGUCCUUAGCAUUUAAAAUCUUGAAGCCGAUUAGAACUGUAAGAAGCAGGCUUAAAUCAAGAUGGGUACACUGGAUUUCAAAGUGCUUAUAAGAAUCUUUUACCCUGGCAUAAAAGUAGACUCUAAAUGAAAGAUUCUUAAAUAAUUUUUCCGCAAAGUGCUGUAGAGUAAAAUUUUACUGACUAUUCACGUGAAACCAAAGCUCUUAAUUUUUGCUGAGAAGUUUAAUUUGUUUGAAUGAAAAAUUUUAGUUUGAUUCAAAUCUCCAUAAAUUGUUCUUUUUAAUUUAUCUGAGUCACUAAAAUUCCCUUUUAUUUGACCAAAAUGUGUGAAAUUUUUGUUAGUAUAUGACUAAUUUAUAAAUUUUAAUUUUUAAUGUUAACCCAUAACGAUUAACCUAUAGUCCUUCAGUUAUCAAAAUCGUUCAGUUCUGUGAGAAAAAGAAAGUAAGGCACGCAUAACCUAAUUUUUAUUUUUACUUAUAUUUCUACAGUAUUUUUCGAUCUUAACAUAUUACUAAUUUUGAAAUGACUUACAUGUUUAAUAUGCUAAAAUCAAUUUGCUUGUAUUGAUAUUAAUCAAAGUGAUACAAAUUUUCUAGCUUUUAACUAAAUGUACUUCCUAAUAGUAUGUAUCAGCUUUAAUUUUGGUAGAUUUUACGAAAUUAUUUCAGCACCUUUUUAUCAAAAUGAUCUUAAAAAAUUUGAAUAAUCAAUUUUCAUUAAAUAUCAAUUUAUUCUUUUUUCCCUUUCGUUUCACUCAGCAAUGAAAGCUUAACUGAAAAGCUCUUCUGUAUUUGACAAGCAUUCAAAUGUGAGUCACAAUGUAGAAAUUUAAAAUAAAUUCCAGCAUAGUUUUUUUCUCGCUUUACAAUAAAAUAAGUUUUAUUUAUCUUGAAUACUGUAAAUAUCGAAAGCAGUAAUAAGUAUAAAAUUCAAACUUUUACCAUUCUAUAAAUUUUGAAAAUAAAAUAUUUAUCUCUACAGUUACCCAUAUGCUUUCUUUAGUAAAGCUUUAAACUAUUACGACUCGAUGCUUUUGUCUAUAGUUUAGACGCUUUAGAGUCCAAAUAAAUCUUUACACCAAUAUGUAUGUAUUUUUUGGAAGCUUUUAAUGUAUGAAGAGUAAAAAAUGAAUGAACAUUUGUAACUGUACGAAUUCUAAUCUGCGAUGUCUAACUCUAAAUUAACAUUGAAUUUUUUUGUUCUACUGGGGUAUGAACGUAUUACAGCAUGUAUACUCUUUAUUGUUCAAGAACAUACUGUUGUUGUUCUUGACGUAUGCCAUUAAGGCAGAGGGGAUGUGAUUGUUCUUGUUUUCCAGUACUGUAUUUCAAAUUGUUUUCAUAUACUGUUUUUUUCGAAUUUACUGGAUUGUUUAAUUUAUCCCUUGUUUAGUGCCUAGGUACUGUUUUUGUCUUUUGUAUUUUUCAGGAUUGUCUGUAUUCUUGAUUUGCGGCAGAUGUGCAAGUUUUGAGGUGCCAUGGCUACAACAUAGGAUGAAAAGUUUCAAGGAAGAAUCAAUUUUAUGGGGAAACGACUGAAUAGACGGAAAAUGCUUCCAGCACUAGGAACUUGCCAAUUGUUUUGCUAGCUUUGUAGGAUUAUCUGUAUUCUUGAUUUGCGGCAGAUGUGCAAGUUUUGAGGUGACAUGGCUACAACAUAGGAUGAAAAGUUUCAAGGAAGAAUCGAAUGAUUUGAUGGGGAAACUACUGAAUGGAUGGAAAAACGUUUCCAGCCCAAAGAACUUGCCAAUUGUUUUGCUAGCCUAGUUGGUGAGACGAUGAACUUUGAUUUUUCUCUUUGUUCCUCGACGCUCUUUUUUAAAGCGCAAUUGCAAGACCAACAGUCACUGAAUGUUCUUUAGAUUAUAUGUUGUCUACGUCCAAAUGAAACGGAGUCCUGCUGUGAAUGAGACUAAGGAAUAAGAUUUACUACCUCCCAAUGAGUCGGCUCAAUUUCUCAGUGAUAGACGGAGUGUGAGCAUACCGUCGAGCUAACCGUGGGAGGUUUUCCUGGUUUUCCUCUCCAUGUAACGCAAAUGCGGGUUAGUUUAAUAUAAGUCCUCCAGGAAGGCAAGAAAUAUGAAAGCUUUAAGUGUUUAUCGUUACAUAUUAGAAUUGACGUGAUCUAAAGUUAUAUAUGAACUCUGAGAACUUUAGAAAUUUAGAGACUAGUAAUAAACCCAGAAAUGUCUUUUGUUUAACGCUAUUUCAACCUCUUUACGAUGUUAUCAAUUUUGUAUAUUGUUGUCAUACUGACUAUAUAUCCAAUUCUUGUUAAAAGAAUGUAAUGCAAAAAAAUAGAGAA
Molecule: non-coding RNA, 6226 nt
Organism: Parasteatoda tepidariorum (common house spider)
Lineage: Eukaryota; Metazoa; Arthropoda; Arachnida; Araneae; Theridiidae
Source: RefSeq, a predicted model, not a curated record